Molecule: long non-coding RNA, 968 nt
Filed under: Vombatus ursinus (common wombat)
Lineage: Eukaryota; Metazoa; Chordata; Mammalia; Diprotodontia; Vombatidae
Description: lncRNA (ENSVURG00010014307.1)
Source: RNAcentral
GGAUUGAAAAAGGCCCAGUUGUGUCCACCUCUGCAGAAAGGCUGAUGGAAAGGUCAGUCAUUUAUUCCAAAUCUGAUCUAGUAAGGGAAGGAAAUGAUUCUGUUGCUGUAAACUAACUCUUCAAUUCUUUUCCUCCUUUCCCCUUAGAUUUCAGUUCUGAGUCAACAUGAAGAAAAUGUCCAGUGUUUAAUAGAUAAUAAAUAGAUAUUCUUAAACUGUUUUCAAAAGAAUGGGUAUCCUGCUAUAGAAGAAAGAAAUAACUUUCCAAGAUGACCAUUAUUUCUGAGUCUAGAAUAAAGGACACUGCCACUACAAUUGGUGAAGGAGGAAGAGCAUUCAUAUGAAUCAUUCUAUUCUUUUAACCAACAAGCACUGCAUUGCAUGCGUGCAUACAAGAGAACUGCUGGGCUUGGAUCUAUAUUGCUUCUUCCUGAUGGACAUCUAACUAGCCUUCAGGGACAUCUGGCUGACCUCCUGGGAAAUCAGGCUGACACCUUGAGACAGAAGUCUGCUGGUGUUGGUUUCAAAAUAGAAGAGCCAGAUAACAGCAAAAGCAGGCAUUCCUGGCUUCUACCUGCUCAAGAAAAAAGAUGGGACAGGAAAAUCCGUCUCCAAGUAAGAUUCUCUGAGAGCUUCUCUGAGAAUGGGCUAUCAUCACCAGAUACACCCAGGUCUCCCUCCUGGGCAGGGAGCUGGCCCAAGGACUAGCUGCUCCGUUGAGAGCUGGAGUGAGACUUUAACCACUGAGGCUGCUUACUCAGGCUACAGCAUCUCCCAAAGCUGCCACUUUGGCUCCUCCCAAACCACGAGAGCUUCAGCUCCACUUCAGCUUUGUAUCCUCCCCAGGUCAAUGUGUCAGGGAAGCACAAGCCAGUGUGGAUCUUCCUGGGCCCUGCAUGGAAUGCAAGGGGCAGAGAAUUAUGGCUCAUGUACUUCCUUUUGUGGAUAAGUGAAGUCACCACUGCGUG